Molecule: non-coding RNA, 766 nt
Organism: Pelobates cultripes (western spadefoot toad)
Lineage: Eukaryota; Metazoa; Chordata; Amphibia; Anura; Pelobatidae
Source: the annotation of a GenBank genome assembly
CUGCGACCGUGGUAUGUACGCCACUGCAUACAAAUGUUUAAACAGCAAUUGGAUAAAUACUUGCAAAAACUUAAUAUACAGGGAUAUAAUUUCUAAUUAGUGGGGCUUCUUGAUCCAAGGAAAUGUAUGAAUACCAUUUUAGGGUCAAGAAGGAAUUUUUUUUCAUAGUUUGUAGUAAAUGGGAAGCGCUUAAAACUGGGUGUUUAGCCUUCUUUUGGAUCAACAGCAAAAACAUAUGUGAGAAAGGCUGAACUUGAUGGACGCAAGUCUCUUUUCAGCUAUGUAACUAUGUAAAUUUGCCACAUGCCAUGAUAGUCACAGUUUAACAUAUACCUGGAUUUGAACACUAAAUGUUUCUAGUUCUCUCCUUAGCUUUGGAGCACAAGCCAUCCACCAGAACUUGUACGACCGACAUUAGAGAGGACUUUGAAAAUUCUAGGGCUUGAUUACAUAGAUCACUAUAUUGUUGAACUCCCGAUGGCUUUCAAGGUAAAAUGAUCUUCAGACAUAUAUCCUGAAACCGUGUCUUUUUUGUGGUUUGAAGAUAUCAACUUUGGUUUAUAUUGUUUUUUUUUUUAUUUUUUUAUUAUUAUAGCCUGGGGAUGAACUAAUCCCACAAGAUGAGAAUGGAAAGACCUUAUACGACAAAACAGAUCUGCGUUCGACCUGGAAGGCAAGUACCUAAAAUGUGGCUUUAUGAUCUAAGUUGCACAGUCUAAUCAUAGUUUCAAUCACAAAGAGAAGCAGUUCUCAAAUGACUUCGUCG